GUUAUGCCAUAUUUUUAUGCAUUAAGACACAUGCCUUAUAAAUUUGUGUUUUAUUUUUGGAUACAUUAAGGGCAAAACUAAGUGACAAGUGAAGUCACUUUUUUUUCCUAUCAAAAGUACAUUUUGUGGAUGUCAGUGUCUUUGUAUUUAUUUCUCACAACAGAGGAAAGGUGGCCCGAAAAAAUUAUUAGUUACAAGACUACACCGUCCAAUUGAUGAGUAUGUGUUAUGUCUUCUCCAGACUAUCAGCUAUUUGAUAACAUGACUCAUGAAAGUCACAUGCACCCGGGGCACAGUGAAUUGGAGCACAAUGAAUUAGUCUAGAAAGUGAUUUACUAAGCCCCAGUAUCAAAUGGAUGCCAAAUAUUACUUGUUGAAGCUUAUACAUUUAUUUUUCUAUGAAUUAUUUCUAUAGUUUUUGUAUAUAAACAAGUGGUUUCACAUUUGAACAGAAAUUAUGACAAAAUGAAUGGGUCUUAUUCGG
Molecule: long non-coding RNA, 484 nt
Organism: Thalassophryne amazonica
Lineage: Eukaryota; Metazoa; Chordata; Actinopteri; Batrachoidiformes; Batrachoididae
Exons: 3
Source: RefSeq, a predicted model, not a curated record